RNAcentral lists this unclassified non-coding RNA (185 nucleotides) under soil metagenome. Its description in RNAcentral is "partial internal transcribed spacer 1". The record is from RNAcentral.
AAAGAUAUAGCAUAUUCUUCUGAGUAUACUUUAUUAACCCCAUUCCGAGUACCUUACCCGUUGCUUUCCGCGAGGCUGUCCUCACGGCCCUCUGAAGAUUUAUCUUUGGGGAGUCCUUGCGGAAGGUAUACAAUAACUCUUGCAUUACCAUGUCAUCUGUCUGAAUCUGUUUAAAACAAAUAUUA